CGUGCAGACCGGGUGAUCGCUCCGCUUCCAAAAACGGGGAGGAAAGUCCGGACUCCACAGGGCAGUGUGCUGGCUAACGGCCAGGAUUCGUUGGUCCUAUUGCUUCUUCGGAGGCGACGGGACUGGCGGGUACGGAAAGCGCAACAGAAAAUAUACCGCCCCGGCUUGCCGGGGUAAGGGUGAAAUGGUGCGGCCCCUUCACGGGGGAUUAAAGUAAGAGCGCACCGCUUGGGUGGCGACGCCCAAGGCAUGGCAAACCCCACACGGAGCAAGACCAAAUAGGAGGGGAGGAGCGGCCCGCUCCGCAAACUCGUCCGGCAACGGGCGGGAGGUAACUCUCGGGUAGGUUGCUAGAGCUUGUGAGCAAUCACAAGCCCAGAGGAAUGAUCGCCGUCCUGGCUUGCUGGGACACAGAAUCCGGCUUAUAGGCCUGCUCGCCUC
Molecule: RNase P RNA, 441 nt
Filed under: Acidobacteria bacterium RIFCSPLOWO2_12_FULL_54_10
Lineage: Bacteria; Pseudomonadati; Acidobacteriota
Description: RNase P RNA component class A
Rfam family: Bacterial RNase P class A
About the family: Ribonuclease P (RNase P) is a ubiquitous endoribonuclease, found in archaea, bacteria and eukarya as well as chloroplasts and mitochondria. Its best characterised activity is the generation of mature 5'-ends of tRNAs by cleaving the 5'-leader elements of precursor-tRNAs. Cellular RNase Ps are ribonucleoproteins.
Source: RNAcentral